GGGGAUAUAGCUCAGGGGUACAGCACAUGCCUGGCAAGCAUGAGAUAGUUCGAUUCCUGGUACCA
This 65-nucleotide transfer RNA is filed under the name Cavia porcellus (domestic guinea pig). It matches the Rfam family "tRNA". From Rfam's summary of the family: Transfer RNA (tRNA) molecules are approximately 80 nucleotides in length. Their secondary structure includes four short double-helical elements and three loops (D, anti-codon, and T loops). Further hydrogen bonds mediate the characteristic L-shaped molecular structure. tRNAs have two regions of fundamental functional importance: the anti-codon, which is responsible for specific mRNA codon recognition, and the 3' end, to which the tRNAs corresponding amino acid is attached (by aminoacyl-tRNA synthetases). tRNAs cope with the degeneracy of the genetic code in two manners: having more than one tRNA (with a specific anti-codon) for a particular amino acid; and 'wobble' base-pairing, i.e. permitting non-standard base-pairing at the 3rd anti-codon position. Lineage: Eukaryota; Metazoa; Chordata; Mammalia; Rodentia; Caviidae. The record is from Rfam by way of RNAcentral.